AUGUUUUUAUCACACACACACACAAGCACACGCACACGGACACACACACACACACACACACGAAAUAUGGUUCCAUUUGGGACGCAGGGACAGUCAGUCAGAUACAGUUUUCAGAUACAGUCAGUCAGACACAGUCAGUCAGAUACAGUUUUCAGACACAGUCAGUCAGAUACAGUUUUCAGACACAGUCAGUCAGUCAGACACAAUCAGUCAGAUACAGUUUUCAGACACAGUCAGUCAGACACAGUCAGUCAGUCAUACAGUUUUCAGACACAGCCAGUCAGUCAGACACAGUCAGUCAAACACAGUCAGAUACAGUUUUCAGACAGUCAGUCAGACACAGUCAGUCAGAUACAGUUUUCAGACACAGUCAGUCAGAUACAGUUUUCAGACACAGUCAGUCAGUCAGACACAGUCAGUCAGAUACAGUUUUCAGACACAGUCAGUCAGACACAGUCAGUCAGUCAUACAGUUUUCAGACACAGCCAGUCAGUCAGACACAGUCAGUCAAACACAGUCAGAUGCAGUUUUCAGACACAGUCAGUCAGAUACGGUCAGUCAGACACAGUCAGUCAGACACAGUCAGUCAGAUACAGUCAGUCAGACACAGUCAGUCAGACACAGUCAGUCAGAUACAGUCAGUCAGACACAGCCAGUCAGAUACGGUCAGUCAGACACAGUCAGUCAGACACAGUCAGUCAGAUACAGUUUUCAGACACAGUCAGUCAGAUACAGUUUUCAGACACAGUCAGUCAGACACAGUCAGUCAGUCAUACAGUUUUCAGACACAGCCAGUCAGUCAGACACAGUCAGUCAAACACAGUCAGAUGCAGUUUUCAGACACAGUCAGUCAGAUACGGUCAGUCAGACACAGUCAGUCAGACACAGUCAGUCAGAUACAGUCAGUCAGACACAGUCAGUCAGACACAGUCAGUCAGAUACAGUCAGUCAGACACAGCCAGUCAGAUACGGUCAGUCAGACACAGUCAGUCAGACACAGUCAGUCAGAUACAGUUUUCAGACACAGUCAGUCAAACACAGCAUGGAAAUAGGAUAUACAUAAGAGCGACAGGGAGAGAAGGUUAA
RNAcentral lists this long non-coding RNA (1086 nucleotides) under Oncorhynchus mykiss (rainbow trout). RNAcentral describes it as "lncRNA (ENSOMYG00000073076.1)". The record is from RNAcentral. Lineage: Eukaryota; Metazoa; Chordata; Actinopteri; Salmoniformes; Salmonidae.